RNAcentral lists this ribosomal RNA (523 nucleotides) under Xenovarta acuta. RNAcentral describes it as "partial large subunit ribosomal RNA". The stretch from base 386 to 523 matches the Rfam family "Archaeal large subunit ribosomal RNA", at positions 2542 to 2680 of the family's 2987-position model. The record is from RNAcentral. Lineage: Eukaryota; Metazoa; Arthropoda; Insecta; Hemiptera; Cicadellidae.
AAACAUUUCUUUUUGGUUUAUUUAAAAGGUACUUUCUGCCCUAUGAUGUUUAAUUAAAUGGCUGCAGUAUUUUGACUGUGCAAAGGUAGCAUAGUAAUUUGUUUCUUAAUUGGGAGCUUGUAUGAAUGGAUAUAUGAGAAAUCUUUUUUAUUAAUUUUAAUUUUAAAAAUUAAAUUUUGAGUUAAAAUGCUUAAGUUUAUUAUUGGGACGAUAAGACCCUAUAGAACUUUAAUUAAUUAAUAUAUUAAUUUUUAAUUAAAAUAGAGUUAAUAUUGUAGUUAUUUUUUACUGGGGUGGCAAAUAAAUUUUAACUUUAUUUAAUUUAUUCAUUUAUUUAUGUAAAUUAUGAUCCUGAAUUUAGAUUAUAAGAUUAAGUUACCUUAGGGAUAACAGCGUAAUUUUAGUGGGGAGUCCAUAUCUAUACUUUUUUUUGCGACCUCGAUGUUGAAUUAAGAAAAAAUUAAGAAGCAGAAUUCUUAAGAUUUAAGUCUGUUCGACUUUUAAAUUCUUACAUGAUCGUUUU